AGGUCAUUACCAAGGCUUUUAGAAUGUGGUUUCUCAUUUGCUGUGGACAUGACCUUAAAGAAAUGCCCAUUAGGUUUAUUCUCUGCUACUUGGUAGCAUUCAGCCUUGUGGUAACAUCU
Molecule: small nucleolar RNA, 119 nt
Organism: Erinaceus europaeus (western European hedgehog)
Lineage: Eukaryota; Metazoa; Chordata; Mammalia; Eulipotyphla; Erinaceidae
Source: Ensembl